GUGUCAGCAGCCGCGGUAAUACGUAUGCAGCAAGCGUUGUUCGGAGUUACUGGGCGUAAAGGGUGUGUAGGCGGUUAUUUAAGUUUGGUGUGAAAUCUCCCGGCUCAACCGGGAGGGUGCGCCGAAUACUGAAUGACUUGGAGUGCGGGAGAGGAAAGUGGAAUUCCUGGUGUAGCGGUGAAAUGCGUAGAUAUCAGGAGGAACACCGGUGGUGUAGACGGCUUUCUGGACCGUAACUGACGCUGAGACACGAAAGCGUGGGUAGCAAACAGGAUUAGAUACCCCGGUAGUCC
Molecule: ribosomal RNA, 293 nt
Filed under: uncultured bacterium
Lineage: Bacteria
Description: partial 16S ribosomal RNA
Rfam family: Bacterial small subunit ribosomal RNA
Source: RNAcentral